Molecule: ribosomal RNA, 478 nt
Filed under: uncultured bacterium
Lineage: Bacteria
Description: partial 16S ribosomal RNA
Rfam family: Bacterial small subunit ribosomal RNA
Source: RNAcentral
GAUGAACGCUGGCGGCGUGCUUAACACAUGCAAGUCGAACGAGAAGUGAAGACGGAAACCUUCGGGCGGAAGGCUUUAUUUCGAUUGGCGGCCGGUUGAGUAACGCGUUGUUAACCUGCCUCAUACAGGGGGAUAACAGGUGGAAACGACUGUUAAUACCGCAUAAGACCACACAACCGCAUGGUGCGGUGGUACAAACUCCGGUGGUAUGAGAUGGACCCCCUUUCGAUUAGCCAGUUGGCGGGGUAACGGCCCACCAAAGCGUCGAUCGACAGCCGAUCUGAGAGGCUGAGCCGACACACCUAGAGUGAGACACGGUCGGGACUCCUACGGGAGGCAGGAAUGGGGGAUGGUGCAAAGUGGGGGAAAUCAUGAUGCAGCGCCGCCGGGUGAGUGAAGAAGUAUUUCGGUAAGUAAAGUGCAAUUAGCAGGGAAGAAAAUGACGGUACCUGAGCAAAAAGCCCCGGCUAACUACGUG